RNAcentral lists this ribosomal RNA (740 nucleotides) under uncultured bacterium. RNAcentral describes it as "bacterial SSU rRNA". It matches the Rfam family "Bacterial small subunit ribosomal RNA", at positions 8 to 739 of the family's 1533-position model. The record is from RNAcentral.
AGAGUUUGAUCAUGGCUCAGAACGAACGCUGGCGGCGUGCCUAACACAUGCAAGUCGAACGCGAACGUCUUCUUCGGAGGACAAGUAGAGUGGCGCACGGGUGAGUAACGCGUAAGUAAUCUGUCCUGGCAUCUGGGAUAACCUAUCGAAAGGUGAGCUAAUACCGGAUACGUCCUGCGGGAGAAAGACCGCCUCUGUUGUAAGCGGUUGUGCGAGGAGGAGCUUGCGUACCAUUAGCUGGUUGGUGGGGUAACGGCCUACCAAGGCGACGAUGGUUAGCGGGUCUGAGAGGAUGAUCCGCCACACUGGAACUGAAACACGGACCAGACUCCUACGGGAGGCAGCAGUGAGGAAUAUUGCGCAAUGGGGGCAACCCUGACGCAGCGACGCCGCGUGGAUGAUGAAGGCCUUCGGGUUGUAAAAUCCUGUCAGAUGGGAAGAAGUGUACGAUGGUUAAGAGCUGUCGUAUUUGACGGUACCAUCAAAGGAAGCACCGGCUAACUCCGUGCCAGCAGCCGCGGUAAUACGGAGGGUGCGAGCGUUGUUCGGAUUUACUGGGCGUAAAGCGCGCGUAGGCGGUGUGAUCAGUCAGCUGUGAAAGCCCAUGGCUCAACCAUGGACGUGCAGUUGAAACUGUCAGACUUGAGUACUGGAGGGGGUGGUGGAAUUCCCGGUGUAGAGGUGAAAUUCGUAGAUAUCGGGAGGAAUACCGGUGGCGAAGGCGACCGCCUGGCCAGAUA